AUGUACCCGUGCUGGCCUGGGCUACUCAGCACCAACGCCGCCGCCGUAGACAUGCUGUCAAGGCUGUCCGAGAGGUUCAACCAGCUCGUCUGCGGCGUCCUGCCGACGGACGGCGCCGUCGUCGACAGCGGCAGGUUGAUCUCCCCGCUGCUGUUCGCGUCCGGAAGGUCGGCGGAGCAGCCCGGAUGCCUGUCGAGUCCAUCUGUCGUCGAGUUCACGCGGGAGACCGAUGGUGACGCGGAGGCCGAGCUGCCGUGCCUGGCGUUCGGGUCGGAGGACGGCUUCCAGGUUUUCUCCUUCGCCGAGAACCGCAUGCGCAGCGACGACGUCGUGAUGCGGCUGUCCCGCGGGAGCCGGCACGUGCCGUCCCCGCACGGAGGGAAGGUGUUCGUCACGGACAUGUGGGGCCGCCACCAGUGCCACCUCGUCGACCCGUUCACGGGCGAGCGGACGCCGCUCCCCGACCUGCCCAUCCCGCUCUCGGAGGAGGAGCCGAUGCCGGCGAUGAUCGGAACUGACCGGAGCGAGCCCCGGUACCGCCUGUCGACCGACGACGGGUUCGCGUGGGACUGGUCCCCGCGGGGCGUCAUGGUUGCGCGCGGCGACACGGCGUUCUUCUGUAGGACAGGAGCCGGCGAUUGGACGCCGGUGCACCGGUCCAGCCACGGCUCGGCCAUGACCGUGAACUACCGCGGCGGCUUCUUCUUCGUGCUCGAGCUGGGGUCGCUGCGCACCGCCGUGAUCGACGCCGAGACCCUGGAUCACUCGGCCGAGAUCGACCCGCCGCCUCGCCGUGGCGGCAAAGUCCACCUGGCGUUCCUCGUGACCUCCACGGACAACGUGCUCCUGCUGGUGAGCCACGACGGGUACAGGUCGACCUUCACCCACGCGUACCGCGCGCACAGGCCGCGGCAGGACGGGCCCAUCCAGUGGGAGCCGGUGAAGAACAUCGGCGAUCGCGCGGUGUUCGUCGACGGUGCGCACGGCUUCACCGUCCGUGCCGGCGGGCGCGUGAGGAAGAACUGCGUGUACGUGCCCAAGACCGUGGAACUGGACGACGGGGAACAUGGCGACAUGGCGCGCGUCGUCACCGUGUCUCCGUUGAACAACCUGAGGAAGGUGAAGGUGGCGGAGGGGGGUGAGGCGCUAAGGCGCUGCAAGAACAUCGGCGACCGCGCAGUGUUCGUCGACGGCGCGCAUGGCUUCACCGUCCGCGCCGGCGGGCGCGUAAGGAGGAACUGUGUGUAUGUGCCCAAGACCGUGGAGCUGGACGACGGGGAACAUGGCGACAUGGCGCGAGUCGUCACCGUGUCUCCGUUGAACAACAUGAGGAAGGUGAAGGUGGCGGAGGGGGGUCGUUCAUGCAUUACUCCAUUCGUUGAAGUACAUGACCUGCUCCUCCUAAGAUGUCCUAGAGCGGUGGCAUUUCGGCAAGUGAUGGCGGAUCCCCUUGGCGGCGUGGUUUCAGCGGACGGCCUCGAAGUGCCUUGCGCGAACACUUUGCGACCUGCCGGACAUGGAGGGAUGGGAGCUUAUGAUGACACUAUAGUGCUGCCCCCAGUCGAUGUUCGCAACGAGAUAACACACCAUAAGCAACAACCAUUGGAGGCCGAACUCUCAGCUUGCAUGGAGGGCAUCAACCUCGCCCUGCAAUGGACGAAGAUGUCGAUAGAAGUGGAGACGGACUGCCUUGUCGCUCUUAACAUGAUCAAUGGUCCAAACAGGAACCGGUCUCGUUAUGCCAUGUUGGUUGAUCAAAUCCAAAGGCUUUUGAGGGAAGGUAGAAUGUUCAAGCUAUUUCAUGUUCGUAGGGAACAGAAUGGUGUAAGCCAUUAUCUGGUCUCAUUUGGCCGGACAGAAGGUCGCACUGUGGUGUGGCUGGGUUCGGGACAAGAAGACGUCCCUGAUAUUUGUAAGAACAACUUAUGUCCUGAUUGA
This 1938-nucleotide ribosomal RNA is filed under the name Triticum aestivum (bread wheat). RNAcentral's name for it is "partial small subunit ribosomal RNA". Lineage: Eukaryota; Viridiplantae; Streptophyta; Magnoliopsida; Poales; Poaceae. The record is from RNAcentral.